CCUUAUUUUUAGUCCAGAUUUUUAGUAUUCGUAUUGUUAUCUUAGAAAGUCUUACUGAUUAAAAUACUACAAUAGGUAACAAUUUGACAAUUUAGUAGUGUCAACCCUGUGGUUAUGACCCGUGUAUAUAGCAUAUUAAUCCUGAAUACAACGUUUGGUGGUGCGCCUGUCAGAUGCGGAACGUACAGAUAAGGUAAUAGGUAACAGGUGAAUAUACUAUUGGUAUCGGUAGCGGACUCGACCCGGAACUUCUUAAUUAUUGGCAAUAUUAAUUACGUGGAAAACAAAAGAGCCUGGAGUGGUGUAAUUUUUAAUCUACACCUUUGUACUAUAUUAGUUAUAUAUAAAGUUGAAUUCUGUGAUUCGUCGUUUUUACGUGAUGACGGCUGACAAAUUGGACCUCGUAAUUUUAGUAUUAUAGAUACUGUU
This 429-nucleotide long non-coding RNA is filed under the name Mytilus galloprovincialis (Mediterranean mussel). The record is from RNAcentral. Lineage: Eukaryota; Metazoa; Mollusca; Bivalvia; Mytilida; Mytilidae.